UGUUUUUCUUGAGUGAAGUAGAGGCAGGCGGAAUUCCUAGUGUAGCGGUGAAAUGCGUAGAUAUUAGGAGGAACACCAGUGGCGAAGGCGGCCUGCUGGGCUUUUACUGACGCUGAGGCUCGAAAGCGUGGGGAGCAAACAGGAUUAGAUACCCUGGUAGUCCACGCCGUAAACGAUGAUUACUAGGUGUGGGGGGACUGACCCCUUCCGUGCCGGAGUUAACACAAUAAGUAAUCCACCUGGGGAGUACGACCGCAAGGUUGAAACUCAAAGGAAUUGACGGGGCCCCGCACAAGCAGUGGAGUAUGUGGUUUAAUUCGAAGCAACGCGAAGAACCUUACCAGGUCUUGACAUCCUGAGAAGUCGGCAGAGAUGCUGAUGUGCCUUUCGGGGAACUCAGAGACAGGUGGUGCAUGGUUGUCGUCAGCUCGUGUCGUGAGAUGUUGGGUUAAGUCCCGCAACGAGCGCAACCCUUAUCAUUAGUUGCUACGCAAGAGCACUCUAAUGAGACUGCCGUUGACAAAACGGAGGAAGGUGGGGAUGACGUCAAAUCAUCAUGCCCCUUAUGACCUGGGCCACACACGUACUACAAUGGCUAUUAACAGAGGGAAGCAAUACCGCGAGGAGGAGCAAACCCCUAAAAAUAGUCUCAGUUCGGAUUGUAGGCUGAAACCCGCCUACAUGAAGCCGGAAUUGCUAGUAAUCGCGGAUCAUCAUGCCGCGGUGAAUACGUUCCCGGGGCUUGUACACACCGCCCGU
Molecule: ribosomal RNA, 759 nt
Filed under: uncultured bacterium
Lineage: Bacteria
Description: bacterial SSU rRNA
Rfam family: Bacterial small subunit ribosomal RNA
Source: RNAcentral